GAGACAGCAGUCGCCACGGUAAUACAGAGGGUGCGAGCGUUAAUCGGAUUUACUGGGCGUAAAGCGUGCGUAGGCGGCUUCUUAAGUCGGAUGUGAAAUCCCUGAGCUUAACUUAGGAAUUGCAUUCGAUACUGGGAAGCUAGAGUAUGGGAGAGGAUGGUAGAAUUCCAGGUGUAGCGGUGAAAUGCGUAGAGAUCUGGAGGAAUACCGAUGGCGAAGGCAGCCAUCUGGCCUAAUACUGACGCUGAGGUACGAAAGCAUGGGGAGCAAACAGGAUUAGAUACCCCAGUAGUCCCUGUCUCUUAUAA
Molecule: ribosomal RNA, 308 nt
Filed under: uncultured bacterium
Lineage: Bacteria
Description: partial 16S ribosomal RNA
Rfam family: Bacterial small subunit ribosomal RNA
Source: RNAcentral